This 681-nucleotide long non-coding RNA is filed under the name Brassica napus (rape). RNAcentral describes it as "long non-coding RNA (BNAP_LNC015716)". The record is from RNAcentral. Lineage: Eukaryota; Viridiplantae; Streptophyta; Magnoliopsida; Brassicales; Brassicaceae.
GUGCAUAGCGCGGAUCCGUAUCUAGUAGGUCUUUAAAAGACGGGUUAAUCUCUGAACGACAUUGGCUGCGAUUGAAUACCUUGUUUGCAAACGCGCAAUUAAAAAAUUGUGUUUGGCGUUUUAUCUUAUUCUUCAUUUCCUCAACGCCCGAGCUCUGCUACCGUCCCAUCGUCGUCUCCUCUCUCCACCAGAAUCGUCUCCUGUAUCGGUGCUCCCGCAUUCUUUUGUCGUCGUCGAUCUGAUGUAAUUUCCUCUCCGUUUCAGGUUUCCAAAAUCAACAUCAAAAUGCGACGAAGUUGGCCGAUUGCAUCAGUUCGAGUGGACCAUCACUUCUCAAAGUGUUCUAUUGUUGCUCACGGGUCGAGGAUCUAGUCAAGAGCACUGAAUCGAGCAGAACAGUUCGUGUCCAUUGGUUGAUUGCAGCUCUUGGCUGGUCAUGGCCGCUUUUCACCAAUUUGUGCUUUUGAUCCCUAACAUUUUUUCAGUCUUCGAGUUUGGCCCAAACCCAUUUGGUGCAUAAUUUUCCUUGAUUUUGUUCCAAAACUCUUGAUUGUGCAUUUCGGCCCAUGUGUAUGCAAAAUGUGCAUAUGCAACUCCUAGUGACGCCUAAAUGCAACUCCCCUAAGAACUAAAACGACAUAAAUUAAUAGCAAAAACCUAUAACAACAAUAUUAUAUAUUA